Molecule: transfer RNA, 74 nt
Filed under: Minisyncoccota bacterium
Lineage: Bacteria; Bacillati; Minisyncoccota
Description: tRNA-Gln
Rfam family: tRNA
About the family: Transfer RNA (tRNA) molecules are approximately 80 nucleotides in length. Their secondary structure includes four short double-helical elements and three loops (D, anti-codon, and T loops). Further hydrogen bonds mediate the characteristic L-shaped molecular structure. tRNAs have two regions of fundamental functional importance: the anti-codon, which is responsible for specific mRNA codon recognition, and the 3' end, to which the tRNAs corresponding amino acid is attached (by aminoacyl-tRNA synthetases). tRNAs cope with the degeneracy of the genetic code in two manners: having more than one tRNA (with a specific anti-codon) for a particular amino acid; and 'wobble' base-pairing, i.e. permitting non-standard base-pairing at the 3rd anti-codon position.
Source: RNAcentral
UGCCGGAUCAUCUAAUGGUAGGAUAGAGGACUCUGAAUCCUCUCAUCUUGGUUCGAAUCCAAGUCCGGCAGCCA